This 366-nucleotide RNase P RNA is filed under the name Gammaproteobacteria bacterium. Its description in RNAcentral is "RNase P RNA component class A". It matches the Rfam family "Bacterial RNase P class A". From Rfam's summary of the family: Ribonuclease P (RNase P) is a ubiquitous endoribonuclease, found in archaea, bacteria and eukarya as well as chloroplasts and mitochondria. Its best characterised activity is the generation of mature 5'-ends of tRNAs by cleaving the 5'-leader elements of precursor-tRNAs. Lineage: Bacteria; Pseudomonadati; Pseudomonadota; Gammaproteobacteria. The record is from RNAcentral.
GGAGUCGGCCAGGCAAUCGCUGCGCCCGCGAGGGCGUGGAGGAAAGUCCGGGCUCCAUAGGGUGCGGCGCCAGGUAACGCCUGGGGGGCGCGAGCCCACGGAAAGUGCAACAGAAAACACACCGCCCAAGCGCGCGAGCGCGACGGCAAGGGUGAAAUGGUGCGGUAAGAGCGCACCGCGUCGACGGCAACGGCGACGGCACGGCAAACCCCGCCCGGAGCAAGGCCAAAUAGGGAAGCAGGCGGCGCAAGCCGCAGCGCGCGGCCCGCGCGUGCUUCCGGGUAGGCCGCUCGAGGUGCGCGGUGACGCGCAUCCCAGAAGAAUGAUUGCCCACGACAGAACCCGGCUUACCGGCCGACUCCCGCC